This 399-nucleotide ribosomal RNA is filed under the name uncultured bacterium. RNAcentral describes it as "bacterial SSU rRNA". It matches the Rfam family "Bacterial small subunit ribosomal RNA", at positions 355 to 771 of the family's 1533-position model. The record is from RNAcentral.
UGGGGAAUUUUGCACAAUGGGGGAAACCCUGAUGCAGCAACGCCGCGUGAGUGAUGAAGGCCCUAGGGUUGUAAAGCUCUUUCAGCAGGGAAGAUGAUGACGGUACCUGCAGAAGAAGUCCCGGCUAACUCCGUGCCAGCAGCCGCGGUAAUACGGAGGGGGCUAGCGUUGUUCGGAUUUACUGGGCGUAAAGCGCGCGUAGGCGGCUUGGAAAGUUGGGAGUGAAAGCCCGGGGCUCAACCCCGGAACUGCUCUCAAAACUUCCAAGCUAGAGAUCUGGAGAGGAGGGUGGAAUUCCAAGUGUAGAGGUGAAAUUCGUAGAUAUUUGGAAGAACACCAGUGGCGAAGGCGACUCUCUGGCCAGAUACUGACGCUGAGGUGCGAAAGCGUGGGGAGCAA